UCUGUAAUCGGAAAAGCAUUU
RNAcentral lists this non-coding RNA (21 nucleotides) under Caenorhabditis elegans. The record is from RNAcentral. Lineage: Eukaryota; Metazoa; Nematoda; Chromadorea; Rhabditida; Rhabditidae.